UGGUGUCCGGCCCUCCCCCGAUUGACCAUCGGGCACACCAAGACCUGCUUCGCCGGGUAGUCCUCAAUCUGGGCUUGCAAGCGGAGGAGACUGUAGAGCAGGACGACCCCAUGGUCGAUAUCCUGAGCCCAGAGGGCCCCUCCAGAGUCGCUCUCCCGAUUAUACGGACAGUACAGUCCAACUAUAAGACGGUGUGGCAAACACCGGCCUCCAGUGCGCCAACUGCAAAAGGCGUGGAGAGGAAAUACUUCGCCCCAUCUAGAGGGUUUGACUUCCUCUUUCUACACCCAUCCCCCUGUUCGCUGGUGGUCUCGGCGGUCAACGAAAAAGAGCGGCAUGGCCAGCAAGCUCCUGCCCCCAAGGGCAAGGAAGCUAAGAGAUUGGACUUAUUCGGGAGGAAAGUCUAUUCAUCUGGGGGCCUUCAGCUGAGGAUCGCCAAUCAGCAGGCGAUUCUAAACAGGCACAAUUUUAACUCUUGGGCAUCAGUUGCCAAGUUUAAGGACUCCCUCCCACCUGACGCGCAUCAGGAAUUUACGGCCCUGGUGGAUGAGGGAAUGGCAGUGGCCAAGACCUCAUUACAGGCCGCACUAGACUCAGCCGACGCUGCGGCUAGAACAAUUGCGUCGGGAGUCGUGAUGAGGCGUUCCGCGUGGUUGCAGGCUUCAGGUCUCCCGCCAGAGGUGCAAACCACACUGCAGGACCUCCCGUUUGAAGGUUCGGGCUUGUUCUCCAACCAAACGGACGCCAGGCUGCAUAGCCUUAAGGACUCGCGGGCGACCCUUAAGUCGUUGGGUAUGCACACUCCGGUAACGCAGCGUAAACCCUUUAAGCCCCAGCCACCACAGAGGCAAUACCACCCUCGCCCCCGGCACGAGCCUUACCGCCAUCGAGGCAGGGAUAACAGGCGGAGACGUAACAAUACGCCUAACCAAGGCCAGAGUCACGGCCAGGGCAAGCCGCAGCCGGGAAAUAAACCAGGCUUUUGAAGCUACGCCCAGAGGACAGCGUACCACUUCAUAUACCGGAUCCUCCUCUGGGUUUCAAGGACCAUCUGUCCCAUUUCUACCGGGCCUGGUUGCGCAUAACAUCGGACCGCUGGGUCCUGCGCACAGUGAGGGCGGGCUAUACCCUCCAGUUUUCCUCGCCCCCUCCCUGCCAUCCCCCUUCCCCGUCCCUCUUCAGGGACCCUUCUCACGAGCAACUCCUCAUACAGGAGGUACAGACCCUUCUCGCUGCAGGAGCAGUAGAAGAGGUCCCUCUAGACCUAAGGGGAAAAGGAUUCUAUUCCAGAU
This 1292-nucleotide long non-coding RNA is filed under the name Chrysemys picta bellii (western painted turtle). RNAcentral describes it as "lncRNA (ENSCPBG00000023744.1)". The record is from RNAcentral. Lineage: Eukaryota; Metazoa; Chordata; Testudines; Emydidae.